GUCCACGCCGUAAACGAUGUCGACUUGGAGGUUGUUCCCUUGAGGAGUGGCUUCCGGAGCUAACGCGUUAAGUCGACCGCCUGGGGAGUACGGCCGCAAGGUUAAAACUCAAAUGAAUUGACGGGGGCCCGCACAAGCGGUGGAGCAUGUGGUUUAAUUCGAUGCAACGCGAAGAACCUUACCUACUCUUGACAUCCAGAGAACUUAGCAGAGAUGCUUUGGUGCCUUCUGGAACUCUGAGACAGGUGCUGCAUGGCUGUCGU
Molecule: ribosomal RNA, 263 nt
Filed under: uncultured bacterium
Lineage: Bacteria
Description: partial 16S ribosomal RNA
Rfam family: Bacterial small subunit ribosomal RNA
Source: RNAcentral